AACGGCCAUAUCAUGCUGAAUAUACCGAUUCUCGUUAGAUCACCGAAGGCAAGCAUCAUUGGGUGCGGUUAGUACUUGGGUGGGCGACCACCUGGGAACACCGCGUGCCGUU
This 112-nucleotide ribosomal RNA is filed under the name Caerostris extrusa. The record is from RNAcentral. Lineage: Eukaryota; Metazoa; Arthropoda; Arachnida; Araneae; Araneidae.